UACGAAGGGGGCUAGCGUUGCUCGGAAUCACUGGGCGUAAAGCGCACGUAGGCGGAUUGCUAAGUCAGGGGUGAAAUCCUGGAGCUCAACUCCAGAACUGCCUUUGAUACUGGCGAUCUUGAGUCCGGGAGAGGUGAGUGGAACUACGAGUGUAGAGGUGAAAUUCGUAGAUAUUCGCAAGAACACCAGUGGCGAAGGCGGCUCACUGGCCCGGUACUGACGCUGAGGUGCGAAAGCGUGGGGAGCAAACAGG
Molecule: ribosomal RNA, 253 nt
Filed under: uncultured bacterium
Lineage: Bacteria
Description: partial 16S ribosomal RNA
Rfam family: Bacterial small subunit ribosomal RNA
Source: RNAcentral